AGAUACCGUCCUAGUUCUGACCAUAAACGAUGCCAACUGACGAUCCGUGGUGGUAGUGCUGUUACCUUCCCCACGGGCAGUCCCCGGGAAACCUUUAAGUGUUUGGGUUCCGGGGGAAGUAUGGUUGCAAAGCUGAAACUUAAAGGAAUUGACGGAAGGGCACCACCAGGAGUGGAGCCUGCGGCUUAAUUUGACUCAACACGGGAAAACUCACCCGGGCCGGACACUAUGAGGAUUGACAGAUUGAGAGCUCUUUCUUGAUUUGGUGGUUGGUGGUGCAUGGCCGUUCUUAGUUGGUGGAGCGAUUUGUCUGGUUAAUUCCGAUAACGAACGAGACUCCAGCCUGCUAAUUAGUGCGUUUGUCCACUGCAUCUGUGCAGGCGACGUUGGACGAGGCUGCUACCACGGGCAGAUGGCUUCUUCUUCUCUUUCUUGCCAUUGUGGUUCCUUUUGCUGUUGCCUUUGUUCCGACGGUGCUCCUGCGUCUCCUCUGCCUUUGCUGAGGGGCUUGGGGGCUCGGCGGAGCUGUGUGGGGCGCAGCGGAAUGGGGCUGGAGGGCAGUGGAGGGGUGGAGAUUGACGCCUGUGAUCGGUUGGUCAGUCUGAUGUUGGCCCCCGGGUGCGGCGCGAAUGCCUACUUCUUAGAGGGACAAGCGGGAGAAGCCGCACGAAAUAGAGCAAUAACAGGUCUGUGAUGCCCCUAGACGUCCGGGGCCGCACGCGCGCUACAAUGACGGUGUCAACGAGUCAGACCUUCUGGCCCGAAAGGGUUGGGCAAACUGGUCAAUCACCGUCGUGACAGGGAUCGGGGCUUGGAAUUGUUCCCCGUGAACGAGGAAUUCCUAGUAAGUGCAAGUCAUAAGCUUGCGCUGAUUACGUCCCUGCCCUUUGUACACACCGCCCGUCGCUACUACCGAUUGAAUGGUUUAGUAAGGUCCUUGGAUUGGCGCCAUUGUGAUGACCGCCGAGAGGUGGUCGUCCGACAGGCGCUGAGAAGACGACCGAACUUGGUCAUUUAGA
This 1019-nucleotide ribosomal RNA is filed under the name Anoplotaenia dasyuri. RNAcentral describes it as "SSU rRNA". It matches the Rfam family "Eukaryotic small subunit ribosomal RNA", at positions 1010 to 1777 of the family's 1831-position model. Lineage: Eukaryota; Metazoa; Platyhelminthes; Cestoda; Cyclophyllidea. The record is from RNAcentral.